GCUGACCUUUUAAUAACCUUGUCUUCCAACACUAUACCUGUCAAGGAGCUGGUGCUGAAGAUGAGUCAGACUGAGCCUUCUCCACAGAAGUGAGAGACAAGGACAUCUCAACAAAUGGCAAUCCUGUAAUGGACUGUAAUGGAAGUGUGAGGCUCACGAAGGAAAGACCUCAUUCUUCAGAGGAAAUCAGAAAGGAGGACCCAUUAAAGGCUCCAUGACUUGCGCUAAGAUCAAGGGUUGGAUGCUUAACAGACUGAGCCAUCCAGGUUCCCCACUGAAACCUCCAUCUUAAAAUCUACACUAUGAGCAGUUGUAAACAGAGAUGGAAAAUUGGUGACAUAAAAGAACAGACUUCUAAGAGUGGACAGUAGGACACUGUUCCUGACACAGGGCUCCUGAACCUGGUAAGUUCCUAAGUGAUAAGAAAACUAAGAGCAUAUUUUGUCCUAAUCUUUGACCCUGG
Molecule: long non-coding RNA, 463 nt
Filed under: Mustela putorius furo (domestic ferret)
Lineage: Eukaryota; Metazoa; Chordata; Mammalia; Carnivora; Mustelidae
Description: lncRNA (ENSMPUG00000030921.1)
Source: RNAcentral